Molecule: ribosomal RNA, 120 nt
Filed under: Sus scrofa (pig)
Lineage: Eukaryota; Metazoa; Chordata; Mammalia; Artiodactyla; Suidae
Source: RNAcentral
GUCUAUAGCCCCUCCACCUUGAACGUGCCCAAUCUCGGCUGAUCUUGGAAGCUAAGCAGGGUCAGGCCUUAGAUAGGAGAAAAUACAAGAAAAUGGAAAGACAUUCUGUGUUCAUAGAUU